UACGUAGGCAGCGAGCGUUGUUCGGAAUUAUUGGGCGUAAAGAGUGUGUAGGCGGUGUUCUAAGUCUGGUGUGAAAUCUCCCGGCUCAACUGGGAGGGUGCGCCGGAUACUGGGAUGCUAGAGGGUGGGAGAGGAAAGCGGAAUUCCUGGUGUAGCGGUGAAAUGCGUAGAUAUCAGGAGGAACACCUGUGGUGUAGACAGCUUUCUGGACCACUUCUGACGCUGAGAAACGAAAGCGUGGGUAGCAAACAGG
RNAcentral lists this ribosomal RNA (253 nucleotides) under uncultured bacterium. RNAcentral's name for it is "partial 16S ribosomal RNA". It matches the Rfam family "Bacterial small subunit ribosomal RNA", at positions 524 to 776 of the family's 1533-position model. The record is from RNAcentral.